RNAcentral lists this ribosomal RNA (456 nucleotides) under uncultured Azospirillum sp. RNAcentral's name for it is "bacterial SSU rRNA". It matches the Rfam family "Bacterial small subunit ribosomal RNA", at positions 344 to 817 of the family's 1533-position model. The record is from RNAcentral. Lineage: Bacteria; Pseudomonadati; Pseudomonadota; Alphaproteobacteria; Rhodospirillales; Azospirillaceae.
GGAGGCAGCAGUGGGGAAUAUUGGACAAUGGGCGCAAGCCUGAUCCAGCAAUGCCGCGUGAGUGAUGAAGGCCUUCGGGUUGUAAAGCUCUUUCGCACGCGACGAUGAUGACGGUAGCGUGAGAAGAAGCCCCGGCUAACUUCGUGCCAGCAGCCGCGGUAAUACGAAGGGGGCUAGCGUUGUUCGGAAUUACUGGGCGUAAAGGGCGCGUAGGCGGUACUUCAAGUCAGGCGUGAAAGCCCCGGGCUCAACCUGGGAACCGCGCUUGAGACUGGAGAACUAGAGUUCGGGAGAGGAUGGUGGAAUUCCCAGUGUAGAGGUGAAAUUCGUAGAUAUUGGGAAGAACACCGAUGGCGAAGGCAGCCAUCUGGACCGACACUGACGCUGAGGCGCGAAAGCGUGGGGAGCAAACAGGAUUAGAUACCCUGGUAGUCCACGCCGUAAACGAUGAGUGCU